UUGGCUAACAUAAUAGAUGAGAAUCACGAGGAACACAAAUCAUUUAGGCUUUGGAGACAAAUAUGUGUGUGACAGGUACGUUAAUAAUUUCACCUUUAUUGUUCAUGGCUACGAUUAAGUUCACCCAUUUUGUACCUAAAUCAUUUGUUAUCUUGUUUUUAUUCUUCUUCUUUUUUUUUUGUUUUUUUCUUUUUCCGAUGUGACAAACUUAUAGGUAGAAUAAGCUCAAUGCCUUUACAUUUCAUUCUUUACCUACACAUUAAAAAUAUACAAACAAUUCACCUUUAUUUUUUAUGGUAUACAAAAACUGAAAAAUAUAGUAGUCUUUAUUUUGCU
Molecule: long non-coding RNA, 336 nt
Filed under: Capsella rubella
Lineage: Eukaryota; Viridiplantae; Streptophyta; Magnoliopsida; Brassicales; Brassicaceae
Description: long non-coding RNA (CRUB_LNC002466)
Source: RNAcentral